Molecule: non-coding RNA, 45 nt
Filed under: Schistosoma mattheei
Lineage: Eukaryota; Metazoa; Platyhelminthes; Trematoda; Strigeidida; Schistosomatidae
Source: RNAcentral
AUUCAACUGACGUGUUCCAAGUAGGACGAAAUGCUCGUUCUGAAU